RNAcentral lists this small RNA (125 nucleotides) under Marmota monax (woodchuck). Lineage: Eukaryota; Metazoa; Chordata; Mammalia; Rodentia; Sciuridae. The record is from RNAcentral.
GCUGGGCUUGGUGGUGCAUGCCUGUAAUCCCAGCGGCUCGGGAGGCUGAGGCAGGAAAAUCGCGAGUUCAGUGCCAGCCUUAGCAAAAGUGAGAUGCUAAAAAACUUAACAAUUCCCUGUCUCUA